This 274-nucleotide ribosomal RNA is filed under the name uncultured bacterium. Its description in RNAcentral is "partial 16S ribosomal RNA". It matches the Rfam family "Bacterial small subunit ribosomal RNA", at positions 523 to 796 of the family's 1533-position model. The record is from RNAcentral.
AUCCGGAGGGUGCAAGCGUUAUUCGGAAUCACUGGGCGUAAAGGACGCGUAGGCGGGUUGGCAAGUCAGAUGUGAAAUCCUACAGCUUAACUGUAGAACUGCAUUUGAAACUGCUAACCUAGAGUAUGGGAGGGGGAGAUGGAAUUAGUGGUGUAGGGGUAAAAUCCGUAGAUAUCACUAGGAAUACCGAAAGCGAAGGCGAUCUCCUGGAACAUAACUGACGCUAAGGCGUGAAAGCGUGAGGAGCAAACAGGAUUAGAUACCCUAGUAGUCC